RNAcentral lists this ribosomal RNA (398 nucleotides) under Cronobacter sakazakii. RNAcentral describes it as "bacterial SSU rRNA". It matches the Rfam family "Bacterial small subunit ribosomal RNA", at positions 43 to 433 of the family's 1533-position model. Lineage: Bacteria; Pseudomonadati; Pseudomonadota; Gammaproteobacteria; Enterobacterales; Enterobacteriaceae. The record is from RNAcentral.
GAAGUUACCCGUUGAGUUGCUAGUGGAACGGUAACAGAGAGCAGCUUGCUGCUCUGCUGACGAGUGGCGGACGGGUGAGUAAUGUCUGGGAAACUGCCUGAUGGAGGGGGAUAACUACUGGAAACGGUAGCUAAUACCGCAUAACGUCUUCGGACCAAAGUGGGGGACCUUCGGGCCUCAUGCCAUCAGAUGUGCCCAGAUGGGAUUAGCUAGUAGGUGGGGUAACGGCUCACCUAGGCGACGAUCCCUAGCUGGUCUGAGAGGAUGACCAGCCACACUGGAACUGAGACACGGUCCAGACUCCUACGGGAGGCAGCAGUGGGGAAUAUUGCACAAUGGGCGCAAGCCUGAUGCAGCCAUGCCCCGUGUAUGAAGAAGGCCUUCGGGCUGUAAAGUCC